GUUCAUGGCUCAGGAUGAACGCUAGCUACAGGCUUAACACAUGCAAGUCGAGGGGCAGCAUGGUCUUAGCUUGCUAAGGCCGAUGGCGACCGGCGCACGGGUGAGUAACACGUAUCCAACCUGCCGUCUACUCUUGGACAGCCUUCUGAAAGGAAGAUUAAUACAAGAUGGCAUCAUGAGUCCGCAUGUUCACAUGAUUAAAGGUAUUCCGGUAGACGAUGGGGAUGCG
Molecule: ribosomal RNA, 229 nt
Filed under: uncultured bacterium
Lineage: Bacteria
Description: partial 16S ribosomal RNA
Rfam family: Bacterial small subunit ribosomal RNA
Source: RNAcentral